RNAcentral lists this ribosomal RNA (495 nucleotides) under uncultured bacterium. RNAcentral's name for it is "partial 16S ribosomal RNA". It matches the Rfam family "Bacterial small subunit ribosomal RNA", at positions 28 to 507 of the family's 1533-position model. The record is from RNAcentral.
GACGAACGCUGGCGGCGUGCCUAAUACAUGCAAGUAGAACGCUGAAGGAGGAGCUUGCUUCUCUGGAUGAGUUGCGAGCGGGUGAGUAACGCGUAGGUAACCUGCCUGGUAGCGGGGGAUAACUAUUGGAAACGAUAGCUAAUACCGCAUAAGAGUAGAUGUUGCAUGACAUUUGCUUAAAAGGUGCAAUUGCAUCACUACCAGAUGGACCUGCGUUGUAUUAGCUAGUUGGUGGGGUAACGGCUCACCAAGGCGACGAUACAUAGCCGACCUGAGAGGGUGAUCGGCCACACUGGGACUGAGACACGGCCCAGACUCCUACGGGAGGCAGCAGUAGGGAAUCUUCGGCAAUGGACGGAAGUCUGACCGAGCAACGCCGCGUGAGUGAAGAAGGUUUUCGGAUCGUAAAGCUCUGUUGUAAGAGAAGAACGAGUGUGAGAGUGGAAAGUUCACACUGUGACGGUAUCUUACCAGAAAGGGACGGCUAACUACGUG